Long non-coding RNA from Ictalurus punctatus (channel catfish), 2426 nucleotides. Lineage: Eukaryota; Metazoa; Chordata; Actinopteri; Siluriformes; Ictaluridae. The record is from Ensembl.
UGCAGUUAUUGGUACUCCCACUUUUGGUGACCAACACCCCACCCCAUCCCCCGCUUCCCCCCCAGCCUGAAAGGCCUGCACAAUUAUUUCCAUAUUGCAACAUGUUACUUUUUGUUUGAUGCAUAUUUGUUUAUUUUUAAGCUGACUAUGGACGUUAUUAAAGUUACUGUUAUUGACGAAACCAUGUUUUAUAUAUUAUAAUAAAACAUUGGUUUUUUUGCUAUGGCUCUAUUGAAAAAAAAAAUGCAUUAAACAAAAUUGAAAAAAAAGGCUCUUUGGUGAAAAAGGUUCCCGACCCCUGCUUUAUUGAGCAGCUAUACACAAAAAUGACCCAGAUUCUUGGCUUUGACAAUUUAAUAAAACAGUUAACAGAGCUAGUAAACGUUGCUAAUUAAUUAAUCCUUUGUGUAUGUUCAUUUCAACUGCAGUGAUGAUUUGGCAUAGUGAGUAGUGUUGGUUUGAGUUUCAAGGAUUCUUGGUUCAAGCCUCACUUUUGGUUACUUAUGUAGCAUUUGACUGUUCCUCCAGGGCCUGUGCGGGUUUCCUCCAGGUUCUCCAGUUUUCUCCCACCUCUUGAAAAUAUGUCACUUAAUGGUUUAGCUAAUGGUCUGACUUGUGAGACUACCGCAACUCUGACCAGGACAAAUAUGUCUCUGAAGAUGACUAAAUAAAUUAAGUAUUUCACUAUGAUUCCGAUGACCAGACUGAGAUAUAAGGAAUACUAAAACCUAAGGUUUGAGCAAUGGGCUACUCAAUAGUGGUUUGGAUGAAUCCCUUAGAAGAGAAACGUGUAACGAAAUAUAGUGUUCAUCAAAUUUCCAUGAUAUCAGUGUUAAGAUGUGCAUUUAAUAAAACAUGCAGUGAACAACUCUGUUCCACACGUCGUUGGCAGCCAUGAAAGCAGUGGAGCUUCCCCAUGUACUGUACUAAAUCUUAAUUUAACCCCCGAGACUUACAGACAUAGAUCUUUUAAAAUAGACUGCAUUCUGAAAGCUUAUUUUUAAGUAUGCAUAAAUAACAUUUUCGUAUGCAUACUUAAGAUUCUAGUAGGUUUUUUGUUGUUGUUGUUAGUAUGCAUACUUAAGAUUCUAGUAGUUUUUUGGAUUCUAGUAUUUUAUUUUUUUGUAAGUAUGCAUACUUAAAAUUCUAGUAGUUUUUGUUAGUAUGCAUACUUAAGAUUCUAGUGGAGUUUUUUUUUGGAUUCUAGUAGUUUUUUUGUUAGUAUGCAUACUUAAGAUUCUAGUUGGGGUUUUUUUGGAUUCUAGUAGUUUUUUGUUAGUAUGCAUACUUAAGAUUCUAGUAGUUUUUUUGGAUUCUAGUAGUUUUUUUUGUAAGUAUGCAUACUUAAGAUUCUAGUGGGGUUUUUUUGUUAGUAUGCAUGCUUAAAAUUCUAGUAGUUUUUUGUUAGUAUGCAUACUCAAAAUUCUAGUAGUUUUUUUGUUAGUAUGCAUACUUAAGAUUCUAGUGGGUUUUUUUUGUUAGUAUGCAUGCUUAAAAUUCUAGUAGUUUUUUUGGAUUCUAGUAGUUUUUUUGUAAGUAUGCAUACUUAAGAUUCUAGUAGUUUUUUUUGUUAGUAUGCAUACUUAAGAUUCUAGUAGUUUUUUUUGUUAGUAUGCAUACUUAAAAUUCUAGUAGUUUUUUUGUUAGUAUGCAUACUUAAGAUUCUAGUGGGGUUUUUUUUGUUAGUAUGCAUACUUAAGAUUCUAGUGGGGUUUUUUUUUUGGAUUCUAGUAGUUUUUUGUAAGUAUGCAUACUUAAGAUUCUAGUAGUUUUUUUUGGAUUCUAGUAUUUUUUUUGUAAGUAUGCAUACUUAAAAUUCUAGUAGUUUUUUGUUAGUAUGCAUACUUAAGAUUCUAGUGGGUUUUUUUUAUUCUAGUAGUUUUUUGUAAGUAUGCAUACUUAAGAUUCUAGUGUUUUUUUUUGUUGUUGUUGUUAGUAUGCAUACUUAAGAUUCUAGUGUUUUUGUUGUUGUUGUUGUUAGUAUGCAUACUUAAGAUUCUAGUAGUUUUUUUGGAUUCUAGUAUGUUUUUUGUAAGUAUGCAUACUUAAGAUUCUAGUAGUUUUUUUUUGUUAGUAUGCAUACUUAAGAUUCUAGUGGGGUUUUUUUGGAUUCUAGUAGUUCUUUUUCUAAGUAUGCAUACUUAAGAUUCUAGUAUUUUUUUGGAUUCUAGUAGUUUUUUUGUUAGUAUGCAUACUUAAGAUUCUAGUAUUUUUUUGGAUUCUAGUAGUUCUUUUUCUAAGUAUGCAUACUUAAGAUUCUAGUAUUUUUUUGGAUUCUAGUAGUUUUUUUGUUAGUAUGCAUACUUAAGAUUCUAGUAUUUUUUUGGAUUCUAGUAGUUUUUUGUUAGUAUGCAUACUUAAGAUUUUAGUGGUUUUUUUUUGGAUUCUAGUAGUUUUUUUGGAAGUAUGCAUACUUAAGUUUCUAG